This 549-nucleotide ribosomal RNA is filed under the name uncultured bacterium. Its description in RNAcentral is "bacterial SSU rRNA". It matches the Rfam family "Bacterial small subunit ribosomal RNA", at positions 355 to 896 of the family's 1533-position model. The record is from RNAcentral.
UGGGGAAUAUUGGACAAUGGGCGAGAGCCUGAUCCAGCCAUGCCGCGUGUGUGAAGAAGGCCUUUUGGUUGUAAAGCACUUUAAGUGGGGAGGAAAAGCUUAUGGUUAAUACCCAUAAGCCCUGACGUUACCCACAGAAUAAGCACCGGCUAACUCUGUGCCAGCAGCCGCGGUAAUACAGAGGGUGCAAGCGUUAAUCGGAAUUACUGGGCGUAAAGCGCGCGUAGGUGGUUAUUUAAGUCAGAUGUGAAAGCCCCGGGCUUAACCUGGGAACUGCAUCUGAUACUGGAUAACUAGAGUAGGUGAGAGGGGAGUAGAAUUCCAGGUGUAGCGGUGAAAUGCGUAGAGAUCUGGAGGAAUACCGAUGGCGAAGGCAGCUCCCUGGCAUCAUACUGACACUGAGGUGCGAAAGCGUGGGUAGCAAACAGGAUUAGAUACCCUGGUAGUCCACGCCGUAAACGAUGUCUACCAGUCGUUGGGUCUUUUAAAGACUUAGUGACGCAGUUAACGCAAUAAGUAGACCGCCUGGGGAGUACGGCCGCAAGGUUA